AAAGGAGAGAUCAGACGGCAAAACGGACAUCACUUUUGAACUCAGGACGGUCGAAAACCUUAGGAGGGGCAUAAAAGGAAAAAUGGCACUAUUCACAUGUACGGAACUAUUCACGUGUACGGUACUGUAUACGUUACUGUUCACGACACUGUUCACAUAGACGGAUGAUGACGUGGCAUUGACCGAUGAUGUGGCAUUGACUGAUGAGGUGUCACGAUCCUGUUGGACUAAAAUUCUUAUGUACUGUUGAUGGUGACGUGGCAGCAUAUCAGUGGACGAAAAAUCUCGCGUACGGUGCAUGCAUCACACAGGAUUAUUUUCAACCAAACCGUGUUACUGUUCAUCCGGGUCAAACCGUGUUACUGUUCAUCCGGGUCAAACCGUGUUACUGUUCAUCCGGGUCAAACCGUGUUACUGUUCAUCCGCGUGGUCAAACCGUGGACUGUUGACUGAUGACGUGGCGCAAUCCUGAGCGUCCAAACUGUUUUUAAUCCGAUGGCCAUGAUUUACUCCAUGUAUCUAUAAAAAGGGGGCCUCUCCCCCCUAAUUUGAUAGCUCUGAAUCCAUUUUUGGGAUCCAUUUUCUGUAAUUCCUUCUCCAUCUUGUAUUUUCUUUGUAUUUUAAUAAAUUCCCAUUUUGCCCCA
Molecule: long non-coding RNA, 644 nt
Filed under: Citrus maxima (pomelo)
Lineage: Eukaryota; Viridiplantae; Streptophyta; Magnoliopsida; Sapindales; Rutaceae
Description: long non-coding RNA (CMAX_LNC002333)
Source: RNAcentral